Molecule: ribosomal RNA, 477 nt
Filed under: uncultured Lactobacillus sp.
Lineage: Bacteria; Bacillati; Bacillota; Bacilli; Lactobacillales; Lactobacillaceae
Description: bacterial SSU rRNA
Rfam family: Bacterial small subunit ribosomal RNA
Source: RNAcentral
GCACUCUGUGAAACAAGAUACAGGCUAGCGGCGGACGGGGUGAGUAACACGUGGGUAACCUGCCCAAAGAGAUCGGGAUAACACCUGGAAACAGAUGCUAAUACCGGAUAACAACAGAUGAUGCCUAUCAACUGUUUAAAAGAUGGUUCUGCUAUCACUCUUGGAUGGGACCUGCGGUGCAUUAGCUAGUUGGUAGGGGUAAACGGGCCUACCAAGGCGAUGAUGCAUAGCCGAGUUGAGAGACUGAUCGGCCACAUUGGGACUGAGACACGGCCCAAACUCCUACGGGAGGCAGCAGUAGGGAAUCUUCCACAAUGGACGCAAGUCUGAUGGAGCAACGCCGCGUGAGUGAAGAAGGGUUUCGGCUCGUAAAGCUCUGUUGUUGGUGAAGAAGGACAGGGGGUAGUAACUGACCUUUGUUUGACGGUAAUCAAUUAGAAAGUCACGGCUAACUACGUGCCAGCAGCCGCGGUAAAU